Molecule: ribosomal RNA, 253 nt
Filed under: uncultured bacterium
Lineage: Bacteria
Description: partial 16S ribosomal RNA
Rfam family: Bacterial small subunit ribosomal RNA
Source: RNAcentral
UACGUAGGGUCCGAGCGUUGUCCGGAAUUACUGGGCGUAAAGAGCUCGUAGGUGGUUUGUCGCGUUGUUCGUGAAAACUCACAGCUCAACUGUGGGCGUGCGGGCGAUACGGGCAGACUGGAGUACUGCAGGGGAGACUGGAAUUCCUGGUGUAGCGGCGGAAUGCGCAGAUAUCAGGAGGAACACCGGUGGCGAAGGCGGGUCUCUGGGCAGUAACUGACGCUGAGGAGCGAAAGCGUGGGGAGCGAACAGG